This 468-nucleotide ribosomal RNA is filed under the name uncultured bacterium. RNAcentral's name for it is "partial 16S ribosomal RNA". It matches the Rfam family "Bacterial small subunit ribosomal RNA", at positions 28 to 507 of the family's 1533-position model. The record is from RNAcentral.
GACGAACGCUGGCGGCGUGCUUAACACAUGCAAGUCGAACGGAAAGGCCCUGCUUUUGUGGGGUGCUCGAGUGGCGAACGGGUGAGUAACACGUGAGUAACCUGCCCUUGACUUUGGGAUAACUUCAGGAAACUGGGGCUAAUACCGGAUAGGAGCUCCUGCUGCAUGGUGGGGGUUGGAAAGUUUCGGCGGUUGGGGAUGGACUCGCGGCUUAUCAGCUUGUUGGUGGGGUAGUGGCUUACCAAGGCUUUGACGGGUAGCCGGCCUGAGAGGGUGACCGGCCACAUUGGGACUGAGAUACGGCCCAGACUCCUACGGGAGGCAGAAGUGGGGAAGCUUGCACAAUGGGCGGAAGCCUGAUGCAGCAACGCCGCGUGCGGGAUGACGGCCUUCGGGUUGUAAACCGCUUUCGCCUGUGACGAAGCGUGAGUGACGGUAAUGGGUAAAGAAGCACCGGCUAACUACGUG